GGCCCCAGCGUCGCCAGGAGAGCUUCCAGCCUCUCUAGAAUCACUACUGCGCACUUCCUGGACAGCAGUCUCCGUCGCAAGAAGCGGAGGGAAAAAAAAAAGCAACAAGCAGGGAUAGAACCAGCGUUGGCCGCCGCGCACGUCGGGAGUUGUAGUUCUGGCUAGGCCGUGCGUCCUGCACCGAUCUCCGGGCCCGCCGCGGCGCCCGCUGGCCUGGGGUUCCGGCUUACAGCGCGGGAAUUCGGGAACCCAGCGCGGGCUGCAGAGGCCCCAGCAGGAGCCCCGCCUCCCGGCUCGUCGACGGAUUCGUUCUUGGCCCUGCCAAUCUGAUUCUCAGCUCCCAGAACUUCACGAUUUAGAAUGUAGACUUUUGCUUUGUGACAGUUCUCCCCAUCCCCGACUACUAAAUGACGAACCCUCUUUAACUGUGAAAUGUACCUGCAAAGUCAAGCAGUGUCUUUGGAUACCCAAGUUCAGAUAUGAACAAGCAAGCUACAAAAGCGGGGUGGGCGGGUAUGAGUGAGCAGAAGAGAGAAACCGGGCUGCAAAAAAGGAAAAUAAAGGCGGGACGUGGGGGUAUGAUUUGCUGAAUGGUACCAAAGUUGAUUUUUUGCACCGUGCACAGUGAUCGAGCUGAGCAAAUUAUUUUUUUUUUAAUUAUAAGCAGCGGUAAGAACAACAACAAAAUUACAUUUGGAAAAUGAUUUGCAUUUUCUCGGUCUGAUCAUUUCACGUUCCCUGGGAAAGGGAUGUCAAGGCAGAGUGCCUUGCUGCCUCCUCAUGUGUGUCAAUAGGAGAGUGAUGAUAUUUGAGUUGGAUCUUAAAGAGUAAGUAGGAGUUUGCCACACAAAGAAGUUGGGUAAGGAAAUUCCUGCAGGAGAAACCUGUAUUUGCAAAGGCAAGAAUCCAGACGGAGUGUGUCAAAUUCGGGAAAAGAACAAAAUUCAAGGUGGCCAUAUUAUCUCUGGGAAGAAGAGAGGAAGGGCAAGAUUGCUGCUAGCAUGCUGGAUAUUCUCCAUUCCACCUUCUAGUGGUUCCUCCCAGCUCUUCCAGCUCUGCAUCAACUGACCUGAACAGGCAAAAAGACUGCACUAUCCAGGCUGCCUGGCCCUCUGGCUUCCAGUUGGUUGCCGCCGAUAGGAGGCAUCAGCAGGAAAUUGGAAAGUAGGAGGAAAGAGAUACGGAUAUUAAACCAAGAUUCCACUAGCCCAUGCCUAAGCCUGCCUGGCCAAGAUUGUAACAGUGGCUGAAUUCCUUGACCCAAAGACCACAUGUCCUGAUGGAUAGCAUACCACAGUGGGCACUGCAGAACCAGUUACACCAACUCAGAAGUGUCUGUAGUUAUCCAGGAAGGAAGGUGUUAAUUACGGAUUUGAAGUGUCAAGGUCAAAAAACACAUGACAAUACAGAAAAAUAAUAGAAAUAACUUGUCAAUGAUGUUUCUGAGAUGAACAAUCUUAGGUGAUGAGAGACUGUAGAUGCAGUGGGGCAGAAUUUCCUCAAAAUGUAGAGGAGGAGAAGAUUGUGGUCCAGACUUCCAUCUUCCCAUAUAAUGACUCCAGAAGAAAAAGAAA
RNAcentral lists this long non-coding RNA (1574 nucleotides) under Homo sapiens (human). Its description in RNAcentral is "HSALNT0394976". Lineage: Eukaryota; Metazoa; Chordata; Mammalia; Primates; Hominidae. The record is from RNAcentral.